Long non-coding RNA from Cherax quadricarinatus, 556 nucleotides. RefSeq lists it as uncharacterized. The record is from RefSeq and is a predicted model, not a curated record. Lineage: Eukaryota; Metazoa; Arthropoda; Malacostraca; Decapoda; Parastacidae.
CGGCUUAUAUUGUCAGUGGCCCUAACAAACCCAACAAAGAAAGAAAGUAAACACUUUUGGUUCAUAGCUGAAGAACCUGGGUUCAACCUGGCACGGGUUUAGCGCUUGGUUUUGAUUAUAAUAAUAAUAAUUCGCCCUGGCACAAGUGAAUAUGUUGGUCAUGUCUCAGUACAAGUGUUGCCCGGUGCACCUAGCAGAAGGUCACCUUGCCUCAGUGGGAAAUGGCCGAUGUGUUAAUACAAAAAUAACAAUAAUGAUUUAUGACAUCUCAAGAGGAGAGGAUGUAUGAUCAUUUCAUGUCAACAGCUUCUGACAGCAAAUUAGGAAAUGAGUAGUUCAGCAAGAGGACGAGCACAGCACACCUCCACGAAAUGGAAGCAGAUAAAAGAAACGAGUAUUACAAGCAGAUAUGCCUCAGCAGACAGGACAACACUGAUCUUUUCUGAGCACUGGGUGGUCACAUGUUGCAGGUGGACACUCAGUUACACGGCACUGAACAUUUCCUCUCUGGAAAGAUGGAUAUUUCAAUUUAAAAAGGUAUGUAAUAAAAUAUAGA